RNAcentral lists this ribosomal RNA (468 nucleotides) under uncultured bacterium. Its description in RNAcentral is "partial 16S ribosomal RNA". It matches the Rfam family "Bacterial small subunit ribosomal RNA", at positions 28 to 507 of the family's 1533-position model. The record is from RNAcentral.
GACGAACGCUGGCGGCGUGCUUAACACAUGCCAGUCGAACGGAAAGACCCUGCUUUUGUGGGGUGCUCGAGUGGCGAACGGGUGAGUAACACGUGAGUAACCUGCCCUUGACUUUGGGAUAACUUCAGGAAACUGGGGCUAAUACCGGAUAGGAGCUCCUGCUGCAUGGUGGGGGUUGGAAAGUUUCGGCGGUUGGGGAUGGACUCGCGGCUUAUCAGCUUGUUGGUGGGGUAGUGGCUUACCAAGGCUUUGACGGGUAGCCGGCCUGCGAGGGUGACCGGCCACAUUGGGACUGAGAUACGGCCCAGACUCCUACGGGAGGCAGCAGUGGGGAAUAUUGCACAAUGGGCGGAAGCCUGAUGCAGCAACGCCGCGUGCGGGAUGACGGCCUUCGGGUUGUAAACCGCUUUCGCCUGUGACGAAGCGUGAGUGACGGUAAUGGGUAAAGAAGCACCGGCUAACUACGUG